AAGCAGGGGAUCGUAAGACCUUGUGCUUUUGGAGUGGCCGAUGCCUGAUUAGCUAGUUGGUAGGGUAAUGGCCUACCAAGGCGACGAUCAGUAGUUGGUCUGAGAGGACGACCAGCCACACUGGGACUGAGACACGGCCCAGACUCCUACGGGAGGCAGCAGUGGGGAAUUUUGGACAAUGGGCGCAAGCCUGAUCCAGCAAUGCCGCGUGAGUGAAGAAGGCCUUCGGGUUGUAAAGCUCUUUCAGUCGAGAAGAAAAGGUUGUGACUAAUAAUCAUAACUCAUGACGGUAUCGACAGAAGAAGCACCGGCUAACUACGUGCCAGCAGCCGCGGUAAUACGUAGGGUGCGAGCGUUAAUCGGAAUUACUGGGCGUAAAGGGUGCGCAGGCGGCUUUGUAAGUCAGAUGUGAAAUCCCCGGGCUUAACCUGGGAAUUGCGUUUGAAACUACAAAGCCAGA
RNAcentral lists this ribosomal RNA (460 nucleotides) under uncultured beta proteobacterium. RNAcentral describes it as "bacterial SSU rRNA". It matches the Rfam family "Bacterial small subunit ribosomal RNA", at positions 202 to 645 of the family's 1533-position model. The record is from RNAcentral. Lineage: Bacteria; Pseudomonadati; Pseudomonadota; Betaproteobacteria.